Molecule: ribosomal RNA, 783 nt
Filed under: Escherichia coli
Lineage: Bacteria; Pseudomonadati; Pseudomonadota; Gammaproteobacteria; Enterobacterales; Enterobacteriaceae
Description: partial 23S ribosomal RNA
Rfam family: Bacterial large subunit ribosomal RNA
Source: RNAcentral
CGAUGAGUAGGGCGGGACACGUGGUAUCCUGUCUGAAUAUGGGGGGACCAUCCUCCAAGGCUAAAUACUCCUGACUGACCGAUAGUGAACCAGUACCGUGAGGGAAAGGCGAAAAGAACCCCGGCGAGGGGAGUGAAAAAGAACCUGAAACCGUGUACGUACAAGCAGUGGGAGCCUCUUUAUGGGGUGACUGCGUACCUUUUGUAUAAUGGGUCAGCGACUUAUAUUCUGUAGCAAGGUUAACCGAAUAGGGGAGCCGAAGGGAAACCGAGUCUUAACUGGGCGUUAAGUUGCAGGGUAUAGACCCGAAACCCGGUGAUCUAGCCAUGGGCAGGUUGAAGGUUGGGUAACACUAACUGGAGGACCGAACCGACUAAUGUUGAAAAAUUAGCGGAUGACUUGUGGCUGGGGGUGAAAGGCCAAUCAAACCGGGAGAUAGCUGGUUCUCCCCGAAAGCUAUUUAGGUAGCGCCUCGUGAAUUCAUCUCCGGGGGUAGAGCACUGUUUCGGCAAGGGGGUCAUCCCGACUUACCAACCCGAUGCAAACUGCGAAUACCGGAGAAUGUUAUCACGGGAGACACACGGCGGGUGCUAACGUCCGUCGUGAAGAGGGAAACAACCCAGACCGCCAGCUAAGGUCCCAAAGUCAUGGUUAAGUGGGAAACGAUGUGGGAAGGCCCAGACAGCCAGGAUGUUGGCUUAGAAGCAGCCAUCAUUUAAAGAAAGCGUAAUAGCUCACUGGUCGAGUCGGCCUGCGCGGAAGAUGUAACGGGGCUAAACCAUG